ACGAAUCACUGGUGUACCAGUUGUCUCGCCAGAGGCACCGCUGGGUAGCUAUAUUCGGAGCGGAUAAGCGCUGAAAGCAUCUAAGCGCGAAACCGACCUCAAGAUGAGAUUUCCCACAGCAUAAGCUGGUAAGACCCCUGAUAGAUGAUCAGGUUGAUAGGCCAGGUGUGGAAGCACCGUGAGGUGUGGAGCUGACUGGUACUAAUAGGUCGAGGGCUUGACCUA
This 225-nucleotide ribosomal RNA is filed under the name Desulfosporosinus sp. RNAcentral's name for it is "partial 23S ribosomal RNA". It matches the Rfam family "Bacterial large subunit ribosomal RNA", at positions 2701 to 2925 of the family's 2925-position model. Lineage: Bacteria; Bacillati; Bacillota; Clostridia; Eubacteriales; Desulfitobacteriaceae. The record is from RNAcentral.